UACGAAGGGGGCUAGCGUUGUUCGGAAUCACUGGGCGUAAAGCGCACGUAGGCGGAUCUUUUAAGUCAGGGGUGAAAUCCCGAGGCUCAACCUCGGAACUGCCUUUGAUACUGGGGAUCUCGAGUCCGGGAGAGGUGAGUGGAACUGCGAGUGUAGAGGUGAAAUUCGUAGAUAUUCGCAAGAACACCAGUGGCGAAGGCGGCUCACUGGCCCGGGAACUGACGCUGAGGUGCGAAAGCGAUGGGGAGCAAACAGGGAUUAAGA
Molecule: ribosomal RNA, 264 nt
Filed under: uncultured bacterium
Lineage: Bacteria
Description: partial 16S ribosomal RNA
Rfam family: Bacterial small subunit ribosomal RNA
Source: RNAcentral